The submitters of this non-coding RNA (59 nucleotides) gave its source as unclassified sequences. The record is from Rfam.
GUCGGUCCUCGGUAGUGAAGUUCGGCUCAAUGAGCCGCGCUUCUCGAUCGAAGAUCGAC